Molecule: ribosomal RNA, 490 nt
Filed under: Nemertea sp. Antarctic ARM-2008
Lineage: Eukaryota; Metazoa; Nemertea
Description: partial 16S ribosomal RNA
Rfam family: Archaeal large subunit ribosomal RNA
Source: RNAcentral
UUUUAUAAUAGGUGUUUUCUGCCCAGUGAUAAAAAAUAAAUGGCCGCGGUACUCUGACCGUGCAAAGGUAGCAUAAUCAUUUGCCCCUUAAUUGGGGGCUGGUAUGAAAGAAAUUUUGAGGUUUUAGCUGUCUCUUUCUUGUGUUAGAAUUUUCUGUUUUUGUGAAGAAGCAAAGGUGUUAAAAAAAGAACAAGAAAACCCUUUUAAGCUUUAUUUUUUUUGUUUUAUUUGUUUCUUUUAAGUAUGUUAAUAAAUUUAAAAAAAUUUGGUUGGGGUGACUAAAGAAGAAAAAAUCUUCUUUAGUUAGAAAAAACUUUAAGUUUAAUUUUGACCCAAGAUUUUUUGGUUGAAAGAAUUAGUUACUAAAGGGAUAACAGCGUAAUCUUUUCAGAGAGUUCUUAUUGAAGAAAAGGAUUGCGACCUCGAUGUUGACUUGUUUUUUCCUUUUAAGGUGUAGAAGUUGAAAGGGUUGGUUUGUUCAACCAUUACA